This is a non-coding RNA of Gasterosteus aculeatus aculeatus (three-spined stickleback), 1067 nucleotides long. The record is from RefSeq and is a predicted model, not a curated record. Lineage: Eukaryota; Metazoa; Chordata; Actinopteri; Perciformes; Gasterosteidae.
ACACUCACACACUGAAAUGCGAGUGCCUGCUGUGACGACCUAUUCCCCCCCCCAGUUGCAAAUGCCGUCUGGAGACUGAAGAAAGAGGAGCGUUUGCGUCCCUAUCAGUUUUGUGUCUGCUGUCCUGACCUCAGUCAACCGACGUCACAGGACAUCCGCAGUUUCAAGCAUCAACGGCAGCAAUAUCAACGCUGGGACGUUGGGGAGAGGAACAGAGAAACGGGAGAGAUGGAUGAUAUCACAUAGCUGAUACAGUAUUGAGGCGCUCGGCAGAGAACUUAUUUUUAUUGCUGCGGCUCUGAAGACUCUCCUUCUCCACCGGCAGACUCCAGAUGAGGUGUGUUCCGGUCAUCGCUGUCCUCAGCAACAAACGGCCUCGUCUAGCAUGCAAACCGCCGCAGGUCACCAUAGAUUUAAUCUGUUGAACACCGCAUCAGUUAUGUGACCUGGGAUUGUCUCAUCCAGAUGGAAAAUGCUCAGCUCAGAUAACCCUGGGAAUUACUCCGCCAGCAAUCUACACACCAUCUCCAAGAUACUACCGCAGCUACUCACGGAACAAUACCGAUCCAGCUGCGUGUGUCUUAUCUGCUGCUCAGAGAUAAAGAAUAGGACACAUGGAGGUAUUAACACCAGGGCUGGUUAUGAGAUAUUAAGCGACACUUACAUGAGAGACCUGUUCUUACACUCGGUUUACUCCAAUGACCCAGUUUUUUCUGCAUGGUCUGAUCUGCUCAUCAAAGUGUCUCUCUUGCGUUGUGUUAACGUUAAUAUCGCAGCACACUUUUUGGCUCCAACUAGCCGUGUUUUGCAGGGUACAGCAUACAGGUGCUUGGCUUUAACUCUUCCUGCUGGUUUGGAAAGCCCACAGGAGACACCAUUGGUUUGGUCUCUGGGAUGUGAACCGAUAGCGCUCACAAGUCCACGUCCCUCCUCUAUUCUGAGCAGAAACCCCGGGAAGACAACCCCCUUUUUCCCUUUUCUGAUGCCUAGUCGUACUUCUGUGGGUAUGUUAGUCAAAGUAAUGGAAAAGUUGGGUGGGCAGUUAUGCAUUACUCUACACAAACGAU